AUGAUGCGGACAGUCUUCAGCCUGGUUCUCAUCAGCUCCCUUUUUGUCAUCAAAAGUGAAGCACUGCAGUGUUACACCUGUGUAGGUUCCAGCGACGAUGACUGCAACAGACAAGGGACACAGCAGUGCCCGGGGCAUUCGGAUGCGUGUGCGGUCAUGCGAGGACAAGCAAGUGGUGUGAUGAAGUCCUGCUCGUUCCGCUCCUUCUGUGAGAGGGCGAUGAGGGAUGGAGCCAGAGCACCCGGGGUGAGCGUCCACUGCUGCUACUCCAGCCACUGCAACGCCAAGAGCCGCGGCGCGAGGCUCGGCCCCUCCAACGGCUGCUUCGUCCUCCUCCUCUUGUCCCUGUGUUGGCACCCGCUGUUGAAGCUGACAUGA
Molecule: long non-coding RNA, 378 nt
Filed under: Meleagris gallopavo (turkey)
Lineage: Eukaryota; Metazoa; Chordata; Aves; Galliformes; Phasianidae
Description: lncRNA (ENSMGAG00000018629.1)
Source: RNAcentral